This 250-nucleotide unclassified non-coding RNA is filed under the name plant metagenome. RNAcentral describes it as "partial contains small subunit ribosomal RNA, internal transcribed spacer 1, and 5.8S ribosomal RNA". The record is from RNAcentral.
GUAGGUGAACCUGCGGAAGGAUCAUUAAAGAAAUUUAAUAAUUUUGAAAAUGGAUUUUUUUGUUUUGGCAAGAGCAUGAGAGCUUUUACUGGGCAAGAAGACAAGAGAUGGAGAGUCCAGCCGGGCCUGCGCUUAAGUGCGCGGUCUUGCUAGGCUUGUAAGUUUCUUUCUUGCUAUUCCAAACGGUGAGAGAUUUCUGUGCUUUUGUUAUAGGACAAUUAAAACCGUUUCAAUACAACACACUGUGGAG